AAUAGAUACCCCGGUAGUCCACGCCGUAAACGAUGAGUGCUAAGUGUUAGAGGGUUUCCGCCCUUUAGUGCUGAAGUUAACGCAUUAAGCACUCCGCCUGGGGAGUACGGCCGCAAGGCUGAAACUCAAAGGAAUUGACGGGGGCCCGCACAAGCGGUGGAGCAUGUGGUUUAAUUCGAAGCAACGCGAAGAACCUUACCAGGUCUUGACAUCCUCUGACAACCCUAGAGAUAGGGCUUCUCCUUCGAGAGCAGAGUGACAGGUGGUGCAUGGUUGUCGUCAGCUCGUGUCGUGAGAUGUUGGGUUAAGUCCCGCAACGAGCGCAACCCUUGAUCUUAGUUGCCAUCAUUCAGUUGGGCACUCUAAGGUGACUGCCGGUGACAAACCGGAGGAAGGUGGGGACGACGUCAAAUCAUCAUGCCCCUUAUGACCUGGGCUACACACGUGCUACAAUGGACGGUACAAAGAGCUGCAAGACCGCGAGGUGGAGCUAAUCUCAUAAAACCGUUCUCAGUUCGGA
RNAcentral lists this ribosomal RNA (520 nucleotides) under uncultured bacterium. RNAcentral's name for it is "bacterial SSU rRNA". It matches the Rfam family "Bacterial small subunit ribosomal RNA", at positions 777 to 1297 of the family's 1533-position model. The record is from RNAcentral.